UUGUCUCAAAGAUUAAGCCAUGCAUGUCUCAGUACAAGCCGAAUUAAGGUGAAACCGCGAAAGGCUCAUUAAAUCAGUUAUGGUUCCUUAGAUCGUACCAACAUUUACUUGGAUAACUGUGGUAAUUCUAGAGCUAAUACAUGCAAACAGAGCUCCGACCGGAGACGGAAGGAGCGCUUUUAUUAGAUCAAAACCAAUCGGUGGCGGUUGCUUCGCGUGACCGCCAUCGUUCGCCCUGGCGAAUCUGAAUAACUUUACGCCGAUCGCACGGUCUCGCACCGGCGACGCAUCUUUCAAAUGUCUGCCUUAUCAACUGUCGAUGGUAGGUUCCGUGCCUACCAUGGUCGUAACGGGUAACGGGGAAUCAGGGUUCGAUUCCGGAGAGGGAGCCUGAGAAACGGCUACCACAUCCAAGGAAGGCAGCAGGCGCGCAAAUUACCCACUCCCGGCACGGGGAGGUAGUGACGAAAAAUAACGAUACGGGACUCAUCCGAGGCCCCGUAAUCGGAAUGAGCACACUCUAAACCCUUUAACGAGGAUCAAUUGGAGGGCAAGUCUGGUGCCAGCAGCCGCGGUAAUUCCAGCUCCAAUAGCGUAUAUUAAAGUUGUUGCGGUUAAAAAGCUCGUAGUCGAAUCUGUGUCCCGCGCCGCCGGUUCAUCGCUCGCGGUGUUUAACUGGCGUGUUUCCGCGGGACGUCCUGCCGGUGGGCUUAGCCCGCGAGGGCGGCCCAACUUGCGAAUCCCGCCGCGGUGCUCUUCGCUGAGUGUCGAGGCGGGCCGGCACGUUUACUUUGAACAAAUUAGAGUGCUUAAAGCAGGCUAAAACUUCGCCUGAAUACCGUGUGCAUGGAAUAAUGGAAUAGGACCUCGGUUCUAUUUUGUUGGUUUUCGGAACCCCGAGGUAAUGAUUAAUAGGAACGGAUGGGGGCAUUCGUAUUGCGACGUUAGAGGUGAAAUUCUUGGAUCGUCGCAAGACGGACGGAAGCGAAAGCAUUUGCCAAAAAC
Molecule: ribosomal RNA, 1005 nt
Filed under: Ludioschema sp. UPOL RK0055
Lineage: Eukaryota; Metazoa; Arthropoda; Insecta; Coleoptera; Elateridae
Description: SSU rRNA
Rfam family: Eukaryotic small subunit ribosomal RNA
Source: RNAcentral